Molecule: ribosomal RNA, 374 nt
Filed under: uncultured bacterium
Lineage: Bacteria
Description: partial 16S ribosomal RNA
Rfam family: Bacterial small subunit ribosomal RNA
Source: RNAcentral
UGGGGAAUAUUGCACAAUGGGCGCAAGCCUGAUGCAGCCAUGCCGCGUGUAUGAAGAAGGCCUUCGGGUUGUAAAGUACUUUCAGCGGGGAGGAAGGUGUUGAGGUUAAUAACCUCAGCAAUUGACGUUACCCGCAGAAGAAGCACCGGCUAACUCCGUGCCAGCAGCCGCGGUAAUACGGAGGGUGCAAGCGUUAAUCGGAAUUACUGGGCGUAAAGCGCACGCAGGCGGUCUGUCAAGUCGGAUGUGAAAUCCCCGGGCUCAACCUGGGAACUGCAAUCGAAACUGGCAGGCUAUAGUCUUGUAGAGGGGGGUAGAAUUCCAGGUGGAGCGGUGAAAUGCGUAGAGAUCAGGAGGAAUACCGGUGGCGAAGG